CCAUAGGGCGGAGGCGUAGCGAAAGCGAGUCUGAAUAGGGCGACUGAGUUACACGGAUGAGACCCGAAACCGAGUGAUCUAGCCAUGGGCAGGUUGAAGGUGCGGUAACACGCACUGGAGGACCGAACCCACGCCUGUUGAAAAAGUCGGGGAUGAGCUGUGGCUAGGGGUGAAAGGCUAAUCAAACUCGGAGAUAGCUGGUUCUCUGCGAAAGCUAUUUAGGUAGCGCCUCAUGUAUCACCUUCGGGGGUAGAGCACUGGAUGGGCUAGGGGGCUUCACCGCUUACCAAACCUAACCAAACUCCGAAUACCGAAGAGUGCGAGCAUGGCAGACACACGGCGGGUGCUAACGUCCGUCGUGAAGAGGGAAACAACCCUGACCAACAGCUAAGGCCCCCAAAUCGUGGCUAAGUGGGAAAGGAUGUGUCGUUCCCAAAACAACCAGGAUGUUGGCUUAGAAGCAGCCAUCCUUUAAAGAAAGCGUAACAGCUCACUGGUCUAAACAAGGAACUUCGCGCCGAAAAUGUAACGGGGCUCAAGCCACGUGCCGAAGCUUUGGGUUCACGAGCAAUCGUGAGCGGUAGCAGAGCGUUGCGUAUGCCUGCGAAGGGAGAGGGCGACCGAUCCUGGAGGUAUCGCAAGUGAGAAUGCUGACAUGAGUAGCGAUAAAGAGGGUGAGAGACCCUCUCGCCGGAAGUCCAAGGGUUCCUGCGUCAAGUUAAUCUGCGCAGGGUUAGCCGGCCCCUAAGGCAAGGCCGAAAGGCGUAGUCGAUGGGAACCAGGUAAACAUUCCUGGGCCUGUGGGUAGUGACGGAUGUCGUAAGUCGUUCGACCUUACUGGAUUGGUUGGGCGGCGAAGAAGUCCCAGGAAAUAGCUCCCACGUUCAGACCGUACCCGAAACCGACACAGGUGGACUGGCAGAGUAUGCUAAGGCGCUUGAGAGAAUGGUGUUGAAGGAACUAGGCAAAUUGCCCUCGUAACUUCGGAAGAAGAGGGCCCGGUCUUUGCGCAAGCAGGGGCCGGGGGCACAAAGCAGGGGGUAGCGACUGUUUACUAAAAACACAGGGCUCUGCGAAGUCGCAAGACGACGUAUAGGGUCUGACGCCUGCCCGGUGCCGGAAGGUUAAGGAGAGGGGUGCAAGCUCUGAACCGAAGCCCCGGUAAACGGCGGCCGUAACUAUAACGGUCCUAAGGUAGCGAAAUUCCUUGUCGGGUAAGUUCCGACCUGCACGAAUGGCGUAACGACUUCCCCGCUGUCUCCAACACCGACUCAGCGAAAUUGAAUUCUCCGUGAAGAUGCGGAGUACCCGCGGUUAGACGGAAAGACCCCGUGCACCUUUACUAUAGCUUUGCAGUGGCAUUAGAGAAUGGAUGUGUAGGAUAGGUGGGAGGCUUUGAAGUUCAGGCGCCAGCCGGGAUGGAGCCA
This 1427-nucleotide ribosomal RNA is filed under the name soil metagenome. RNAcentral's name for it is "bacterial LSU rRNA". It matches the Rfam family "Bacterial large subunit ribosomal RNA", at positions 651 to 2188 of the family's 2925-position model. The record is from RNAcentral.